RNAcentral lists this long non-coding RNA (1028 nucleotides) under Mytilus galloprovincialis (Mediterranean mussel). The record is from RNAcentral. Lineage: Eukaryota; Metazoa; Mollusca; Bivalvia; Mytilida; Mytilidae.
ACACAAAUGUGACAAUUUUGACUGAAGUUUUCUAUUUGUAUCAUAAUAUGAAUACCAAUUACUUUUAAAUGCCAUUAAUGGUUUACAUAUUUUUUUCAGUACAUGCAUGAAGAUGACUUGGAGGCAAUGGUGUCAUACAUGUUAGUUUUAACUAUAAUAGCCUAACUGAAAUUUGAAAAAAGUUAUCAGAGGAAAAGAGUGACCACUUCUUUCUUAUGAAGAUCAACACACACAAGGAAAUUAUCAGACAAUUUGUAACCAGAUAUGGGGGCAGUAUUAGAUAUAUGCAUGAAAAGAAAGUGAAAUCAAUAUUUUUUAGAUAAAAGCUUGAUGAUAUAUAACAAAAAUAUUAAAACAGUGCUGAAUAUGAAAACCCCAUGCCAUGUCACAUGUAACUUUUGGAAUGCAGAGAUUUUCAGUAUUACAAUAAAAGGAAGGAUUUCAUUACUGUUAAAACUGACUCUGGAACAUUCAAGACAAAGAAAUAAAGAAAUAAAAACAUGAGAGGAAAUGACUGUGCACUUCUUUUUUGAAGGAUCAACACACAAAAGGAAAUGUUCAUAUCAUUAUGCAUCAUGUGCAGUAGUUGAGAUAAUUUUGGAUAUAUACAUAAAGCUGUGAACUAAGUGAUAAUUAUAAUUCAAACAUCAUAUGUGGUACCUGCAUGUACUUACUGGUAUAUAUAUUGUAAUUCACAACAUUUUACAUGGAUAUAUAGGAAUAUUCUUUGCAUGAUACAUGUGAAAUAAAAAAAGACAAGUAUAGGAAUAAAGAAUUAUCUAGUACAGCAUUAUCAUAUGAAAACCAGCAGGAUGAUACAUGUAUAUGUCUAUACAUUUAUUAUGGAUCAUGGAAACCUACAAGGAAGUAUUGUAUGCAUUGUUAUAAGGAUUAUUAGUUUAAAUUCAAUGUGACAUAUGCAAUGCCUUUUGUUUUAAUUUUGAGAAAACUAUUUGAAAUGAAUGAAAAAUUAUAAGUUUCUUUGACAUUGAAACCUUUGAAAUAGUCAUAUUUGUAUGUAAUAGGCA